RNAcentral lists this ribosomal RNA (256 nucleotides) under uncultured bacterium. Its description in RNAcentral is "partial 16S ribosomal RNA". It matches the Rfam family "Bacterial small subunit ribosomal RNA", at positions 524 to 776 of the family's 1533-position model. The record is from RNAcentral.
UACGUAGGCAGCAAGCGUUUGUUUCGGAGUUAUUGGGCGUAAAGGGUGCGUAGGCGGUUUGGUAAGUCUUAUGUGAAAUCUACAGGCUCAACUUGUAGUCUGCAUGAGAAAUCUGCCGGGCUGAGUAUGGGAGAGGUGAGUGGAAUUCCUGGUGUAGCGGUGAAAUGCGUAGAUAUCAGGAGGAACACCAGUGGCGAAGGCGGCUCACUGGCCCGAUCACUGACGCUGAGGCACGAAAGCGUGGGGAGCAAACAGG